Oreochromis aureus is the source of this 130-nucleotide long non-coding RNA. RefSeq lists it as uncharacterized. The record is from RefSeq and is a predicted model, not a curated record. NCBI's taxonomy places the organism in Eukaryota, Metazoa, Chordata, Actinopteri, Cichliformes, Cichlidae. The transcript is spliced from 3 exons.
CCUUUUCUCUCCCUGGUGUUUGAGAACGUGGAGGACAAAAGGAUACCAAAGAAUCGAAAACUAUGACAAAGAUUCUUCAAGAUCACAAGCACCAUCUUUAACAUGUUGCCAUGGUAGCAGAUACAGGGGA